CGUUGUGUGCCUGUAGCGCAAUGGAUAGCGUGUUGGACUUCUAAUCCAAAGGUCGUGCGUUCGAAUCACACCUGGAUGA
Molecule: non-coding RNA, 79 nt
Organism: Trichonephila inaurata madagascariensis
Lineage: Eukaryota; Metazoa; Arthropoda; Arachnida; Araneae; Nephilidae
Source: the annotation of a GenBank genome assembly